AACGAACGCUGGCGGCAUGCCUAACACAUGCAAGUCGAACGAGACCUUCGGGUCUAGUGGCGCACGGGUGCGUAACGCGUGGGAACCUGCCCUUAGGUUCGGAAUAACUCCCCGAAAGGGGUGCUAAUACCGGAUAAUUUCUUCGGACCAAAGAUUUAUCGCCUGUGGAUGGGCCCGAGUUGGAUUAGCUAGUUGGUAGGGUAAAAGCCUACCAAGGCGACGAUCCAUAGCUGGUCUGAGAGGAUGAUCAGUCACACUGGAACUGAGACACGGCCCAGACUCGUACGGGCGGCAGCAGUGGGGAAUAUUGGACAAUGGGCGAAAGCCUGAUCCAGCAAUGCCGCGUGAGUGAUGAAGGCCUUAGGGUUGUAAAGCUCUUUUAGCCGGGAUGAUAAUGACAGUACCGGGAGAAUAAGCACCGGCUAACUCCGUG
Molecule: ribosomal RNA, 433 nt
Filed under: uncultured bacterium
Lineage: Bacteria
Description: partial 16S ribosomal RNA
Rfam family: Bacterial small subunit ribosomal RNA
Source: RNAcentral